Non-coding RNA from Phoenix dactylifera (date palm), 3434 nucleotides. The record is from RefSeq and is a predicted model, not a curated record. Lineage: Eukaryota; Viridiplantae; Streptophyta; Magnoliopsida; Arecales; Arecaceae.
UUGUUCAGGACUAGCACUUGUUGCGCAGCCAAUUCUCUUAGGGGCACUUCAUCCUCUUUAAAUUUGUCAUGGCUCUUCUCCCUUGUUUGCUGCUCUUGGUUCUGCUUUUGUUUCCUUCUGUUUCUGGCCAAGUGAGAGAUUUUGUUAGCAUAGACUGUGGAGGCACAGGUAACUACACAGACCCAAAUACUGGACUUGCUUGGAUAUCAGAUGCCGGAUUAACCAAAUAUGGAAAGGUGGCAGAAGUAAGGACUUCAAGAAAAACUGGACCACAGUAUAAGUUCCAUAGGUAUUUUCCUGCAGACAGCAAGAAGUACUGUUAUACAUUGAGUACUACUGAAAGAAGGAGAUAUCUUGUCCGAGCAACAUUUCUGUAUGGAAAUUCAGAUUCUGGAAACCCCUACCCGAUGUUCCAGCUAUUUAUGGACAGCACCUACUGGUCCACUGUAACAAUAAAAGAUGCUUCCAGUGUGUUUGUUGAGGAGAUGAUAAUCCGGGCAACUUCUAGUUCUUUACAAGUCUGCCUAUGUUGUGCAUCCACCAGUUAUCCUUUCAUAUCAACUCUUGAGCUGCGGCCCUUGAAUGUAUCAAUGUAUGCUACAAAUUAUGAGGAUGAUUUUUACCUCAAGGUUGCAGCAAGAGUAAACUUUGGUGCUCUUAGUGAUGAACCUAUACGGUAUCCUGAUGACCCUUAUGACCGUAUAUGGGAAUCUGAUCUAUAUAAAAGGCAGAACUAUCUUGUGGGAAUGGCUCCUGGAACAAGAAGAAUUUGUACUAAGAGGAACAUAAAAAUAAAUACACGGGAAUUUCCGCCACUUAAAGUGAUGCAGACUGCUGUGGUUGGAACGAGGGGAAUCCUUUCAUACAGGUUAAAUCUCGAUGGUUUCCCUGCCAAUGCUCGAGCUUAUGCAUAUUUAGCUGAAAUUGAAGAUUUAGGUAAAAACGAGACUCGAAAAUUUAUGAUGAAGCAGCCCUAUAUUCCUGGUUAUGAUAAUAUAUUUGUCAAUAUUGCUGAGAAUGCCCAUGGGAGUUAUGCACUUUAUGAACCCAGCUAUAUGAAUGUAUCACUAGAUUUUGUUCUAUCAUUCUUAUUCUCCAAGACUCAAGAUUCAACUCGUGGUCCCCUUCUGAAUGCGAUUGAAAUCAGCAAAUAUGUACAAAUUAUACCAAAGACAGAUUUCCAAGAUGCUGCUGUUUUGCAUGCAUUCCAAUCCAUGUCUUCUCAGGGAGAAUGGACCUAUGAAGAUGGUGAUCCUUGUAUCCCUGCUCGCUGGGAAUGGAUAAAUUGCAGCUCCAGCAUGCCACCAAGGAUUACACAAAUAUUUUUGUCUGGAAAGAAUUUGAGCGGUGCAAUACCUGCAGACAUAAAGCAGAUCGAGCAGUUAACAGAGUUGUGGCUUGAUGAUAAUUCCUUGGACGGCCCAAUCCCAGAUAUGAGCAAUCUAAUAAAUUUGGAAGUCGUGCAUCUAGAGAACAACGAACUGACUGGUCAGUUACCAUCUUACUUUGGCAAGCUGCCAAGCUUAAGAGAAUUGUAUGUACAAAACAACUAUUUAAGCGGGGAUAUACCUCCAGCACUGUUAAAUGGAAAAUUCAUAUUCAAUUAUGAUGGCAAUCCUGGAUUACGCUUAAUGGGACAGCAUGAGAGGCAUCUUCAGUUAAUAGUUGCUACAGUCAUUGGAGCAUUUGCUGCUGUACUUUUGCUAGUGGGAUGUUUGUGGCUGCUUUGGAAUCAUCAAAAGAAGCCAUUGCAGGGUGAAAGUCAUAAGAAAAUCUUUUCAGGCAAUUAUCUGCGCAUCCUUUCUAAAUCUUCAAGUCCCUAUUCUAUCGUACGAGGUGCAUCUUUGGUCAUUGAUGAUGGUCUAGAUUUGGCUUACUAUAUCUCACUUACUGAGAUAGAAGAAGCAACUUGCAAGUUUUCAAAAAAGAUUGGUGAAGGAAGCUUUGGCACUGUCUAUUAUGGAAAAAUGAAGGACGGAAAAGAAGUGGCAGUCAAGGUUUCUGCUGAUUCAACUAGUAGCGGAACUCAACAAUUCAUAAAUGAGGUUGCUCUAUUAUCAAGAAUUCAUCAUAAGAAUUUGGUCCCUUUAAUUGGAUUUUGUGAAGAAGGAUGUCAAAGAAUUCUUGUUUAUGAGUAUAUGCACAAUGGAACCCUGCGAGAUCACAUUCAUGAUUCUGUUAAGCAGAAGAGUUUGAACUGGCUAUCUCGUCUAGUAAUUGCAGAGGAUGCAGCAAAAGGCCUUUCUUACUUGCACAAUGGAUGCAAUCCAAGUGUGAUUCAUCGAGAUGUAAAGACAAGCAAUAUUCUCCUUGACAUCAAUAUGAGGGCGAAAGUUUCAGAUUUUGGGCUUUCUAGACAAGCUGAUGAAAAUCUUACCCAUGUAUCUAGUGUUGCCCGAGGAACAGUGGGCUACCUUGACCCUGAGUACUAUGCUAAUCAACAGUUGAGCGAUAAGAGCGAUGUCUAUAGCUUUGGAGUUGUUCUUCUAGAGCUAAUCUCAGGAAGAAAGCCUGUUUCAGUAGAAGAUUAUGGUGCUGACUGGAACAUUGUUCACUGGGCAAGGUCAUCGAUUCGUAAGGGUGAUAUAACAAGUAUCAUAGAUCCUUCACUGAUGGGUACAUUUAAAAUAGAAUCUGUCUGGAGGAUCGCUGAAAUUGCCGUCCUAAGCGUCGAGCUGCAUGGAGUUUCCAGGCCAAGGAUGCAAGAAGUAGAGAUGGUCAUUCAAGAUGCAAUAAAGAUUGAGAGGGGAAGCCAGAGCACCCAUGAUUCAUCUUCAAGCUCUUCUUCCAUGCCUUCGUUGCAUGUAUCAUUUCCAUCUGAUCCGCUGGAAAUUGUAAGUUCUGCCUGACCCAAAAAUGAAUCUCCAGCCCACAAGAAUGCCAAUUAAAUCUCAUUGUGAAAUGUAGAAUCCAUUGAGGGCAUGACCAAACGCAUAGGAAUACCUCCUGAGGUUUGAACCUAGUUACCCAGGACCUCCAAAUGUGAAGUAUGGGUGCAAUCACUGGGCUAUACCAAUUUGCUAGCUUCAAGGCAACCUAACCUGCAUUCCUUAUUCUGUAUUGUCUGGGCCAGCGUAUAAAUCACGGUGUCUGACACUCAGCUUGUUAGCGUGACAGAGGCGCGUUAAGAGCUACCAACCUGCUCCAAUGGACUGACAAUGAUAAGAAUUUCUGCCUCCUAAACAGAUCGUCUCUGACAAUGAUUUUCACUUUUUUUUAUCUUUUUCCAGUUGUAUAUUGGAAAAUGCUAUUCUAACUUGCAGUACUCGUUCAAAGGGACGAGCCGUUUGAGAAGAGCAAAAAAAAAAAAAAGAGGAGGGGUCUUGGACAACCAAAUGUAUGCUAUAAAGAGUUUGGAUGCUCGAUUUUCUUCAAAUGAACAAAUGAUUUUGGAUUAUUUCAAUGAUUUCGAUGAUAAUUUGUGAAGUUCAACA